AGGGUUUGAUUAUGGCUCAGAACGUACGCUGGCGGCACGCCUAACACAUGCAAGUCGAACGAAGUAGCAAUACUUAGUGGCAGACGGGUGAGUAACAUGUAGGUAUCUACCCUUUGGCCUGGAAUAACACGAGGAAACUUGUGCUAAUACCGGAUAAGUCUUUACGGAGAAAGCUUUAUGCACCAUUGGAUGAGCCUGCACUUGAUUAGCUUGUUGGUGGGGUAAUGGCCUACCAAGACUGUGAUCAAUAGCUGAUUUGAGAGGAUGAUCAGCCACAUUGGGACUGAGACACGGCCCAAACUCCUACGGGAGGCAGCAGUGGGGAAUCUUGCACAAUGGAGGAAACUCUGAUGCAGCGAUGCCGCGUGAGUGAAGAAGGCCCUUGGGUUGUAAAGCUCUUUCGCCGGGGAAGAAAAUGACUGUACCCGAAUAAGAAGGUCCGGCUAACUUCGUGCCAGCAGCCGCGGUAAUAC
RNAcentral lists this ribosomal RNA (473 nucleotides) under uncultured bacterium. RNAcentral describes it as "bacterial SSU rRNA". It matches the Rfam family "Bacterial small subunit ribosomal RNA", at positions 8 to 526 of the family's 1533-position model. The record is from RNAcentral.